UACGGAGGGUGCAAGCAUUAAUCGGAUUUAUUGGGCGUAAAGGGCGCGUAGGCGGCCCUGUAAGUCCGCUGUGAAAGUCAAGGGCUCAACCCUUGGAUGCCGGUGGAUACUGCAGGGCUAGAGUCCGGAAGAGGCGAGUGGAAUUCCUGGUGUAGCGGUGAAAUGCGCAGAUAUCAGGAGGAACACCGAUGGCGAAGGCAGCUCGCUGGGACGGUACUGACGCUGAAGCGCGAAAGCCAGGGGAGCGAACGGG
Molecule: ribosomal RNA, 253 nt
Filed under: uncultured prokaryote
Description: partial 16S ribosomal RNA
Rfam family: Bacterial small subunit ribosomal RNA
Source: RNAcentral